RNAcentral lists this non-coding RNA (28 nucleotides) under Homo sapiens (human). The record is from RNAcentral. Lineage: Eukaryota; Metazoa; Chordata; Mammalia; Primates; Hominidae.
UACCCAUGGAAGCCUUUUGUUUGGGCCA